This 438-nucleotide ribosomal RNA is filed under the name uncultured bacterium. RNAcentral describes it as "partial 16S ribosomal RNA". It matches the Rfam family "Bacterial small subunit ribosomal RNA", at positions 339 to 795 of the family's 1533-position model. The record is from RNAcentral.
CUACGGGCCGCUGCAGUGGGGAAUCUUAGACAAUGGGCGCAAGCCUGAUCUAGCCAUGCCGCGUGAGUGAUGAAGGCCUUAGGGUCGUAAAGCUCUUUCGCUGGGGAAGAUAAUGACGGUACCCAGUAAAGAAACCCCGGCUAACUCCGUGCCAGCAGCCGCGGUAAUACGGAGGGGGUUAGCGUUGUUCGGAAUUACUGAGCGUAAAGCGCGCGUAGGCGGACUAUUAAGUCGGGGGUGAAAUCCCGGGGCUCAACCCCGGAACGGCCUUCGAUACUGGCAGUCUGGAGUUCGAGAGGGUGAGUGGAAUUCCGAGUGUAGAGGUGAAAUUCGUAGAUAUUCGGAGGAACACCAGUGGCGAAGGCGGCUCACUGGCUCGAUACUGACGCUGAGGUGCGAAAGUGUGGGGAGCAAACAGGAUUAGAUACCCUAGUAGUC